UAUUUCUCUCCUGGGUUGUCUACUCU
Molecule: non-coding RNA, 26 nt
Filed under: Rattus norvegicus (Norway rat)
Lineage: Eukaryota; Metazoa; Chordata; Mammalia; Rodentia; Muridae
Source: RNAcentral